AUUGAACGCUGGCGGCAUGCUUUACACAUGCAAGUCGAACGGUAACAGGUUAAGCUGACGAGUGGCGAACGGGUGAGUAAUGCAUCGGAACGUGCCCGAUCGUGGGGGAUAACGCAGCGAAAGCUGCGCUAAUACCGCAUACGAUCUGAGGAUGAAAGCGGGGGACCGUAAGGCCUCGCGCGAUCGGAGCGGCCGAUGUCAGAUUAGGUAGUUGGUGGGGAAAAGGCUCACCAAGCCAACGAUCUGUAGCUGGUCUGAGAGGACGACCAGCCACACUGGGACGGAGACACGGCCCAGACUCCUACGGGAGUCAGCAGUGGGGAAUUUUGGACAAUGGGCGAAAGCCUGAUCCAGCAAUGCCGCGUGCAGGAAGAAGGCCUUCGGGUUGUAAACUGCUUUUGUACGGAGCGAAAAGGCCCUCUCUAAUACAGUGGGCUCAUGACGGUACCGUAAGAAUAAGCACCGGCUAACUACGUGCCAGCCGCCGCCGUAA
RNAcentral lists this ribosomal RNA (493 nucleotides) under uncultured bacterium. RNAcentral describes it as "partial 16S ribosomal RNA". It matches the Rfam family "Bacterial small subunit ribosomal RNA", at positions 30 to 523 of the family's 1533-position model. The record is from RNAcentral.